This 716-nucleotide ribosomal RNA is filed under the name Pseudaphelenchus sp. XW-2016. RNAcentral's name for it is "eukaryotic LSU rRNA". It matches the Rfam family "Eukaryotic large subunit ribosomal RNA", at positions 344 to 964 of the family's 3401-position model. The record is from RNAcentral. Lineage: Eukaryota; Metazoa; Nematoda; Chromadorea; Rhabditida; Aphelenchoididae.
ACAAGUACCGUGAGGGAAAGUUGAAAAGCACUUUGGAAAGAGAGUGCAAGAGAUCGUGAAACCAUUAUAAAGGAAACAAACGUUGCUGACGGAUUAGGUGUAUAUUCAUCUGUGGUCUUUGGAUUGCGGUGCUCUUAUAUGCUGUUGCGCUGGUUCUGCUGGUGCUGUUGUUCAAAGUUGAAGAGUGUGGACCGGCUUGUUCGGAUACCUGCUUUGAUGGAUGGGCAAUUGGUGCUGGUGGUGCAUGGGUUGAUGUUGUGUUGGUUUGUGGGGUAUCGUGGUGAGGUCUUUGCGGUAGCACAUGUGUUGCUGUGUUGAUCAAUCUACGUACUUUACGCCUUCUCGUCGACUCUACCGGUGUAUAGUCGGUGAAACGUUUGACCCGUCUUGAAACACGGACCAAGGAGUUUAAAGUAUACGCGAGUCAGAAGGUGGUAAACCUAAUGGCGAAAUGAAAGUGAGCAACGUAUGUUGAUUAAGUGUGAUGGUGGGCCUUGUGUCUACUCGCAACACUGCCCCAUGCCGUAGUUUCGACUUGGUGUGGAGGUUGAGCGUAUGCUUUGAGACCCGAAAGAUGGUGAACUAUGCUCGAACAGGAUGAAGCCAGGGGAAACCCUGGUGGAAGUCCGAAGCGGUUCUGACGUGCAAAUCGAUCGUCUGAUUUGAGUAUAGGGGCGAAAGACUAAUCGAACCAUCUAGUAGCUGGUUCCUUCCGA